This 390-nucleotide unclassified non-coding RNA is filed under the name Hevea brasiliensis (rubber tree). Lineage: Eukaryota; Viridiplantae; Streptophyta; Magnoliopsida; Malpighiales; Euphorbiaceae. The record is from RNAcentral.
UCACUAAUGGAACAGGUGUUCAGAAGUCCUGUGGCACCCCUUGCCUUUUUAAUCAUUUUGUAUCUUACAAGUCAAAUCACAGCAUUAGGCUGGAAUCUUGGUGGACAAGUAGUCUUACAUGAUUUCCUUGGACUAGAUAUACCUAAUUGGCUUCAACAUGCUACGAUCAGAGUUAUUGCCAUUGUUCCAGCUCUUUAUUGUGUAUGGACUUCAGGAGUAGAAGGAAUAUACCAGCUGCUUAUUUUUACACAGGUUACAAUUGCACUGCUACUUCCGUCUUCCGUGAUCCCACUUUUCCGGGUUGCAUCAUCAAGGCCGAUAAUGGGUGUCUACAAAAUUUCUCAGCUUUUGGAGUUUGUAGUACUGAUUAUUUUCAUGGGUUUGCUAGGC